ACGCUGGCGGCGUGCCUAAUACAUGCAAGUCGAGCGAACAGACGAGGAGCUUGCUCCUCUGACGUUAGCGGCGGACGGGUGAGUAACACGUGGAUAACCUACCUAUAAGACUGGGAUAACUUCGGGAAACCGGAGCUAAUACCGGAUAAUAUAUUGAACCGCAUGGUUCAAUAGUGAAAGACGGUUUUGCUGUCACUUAUAGAUGGAUCCGCGCCGCAUUAGCUAGUUGGUAAGGUAACGGCUUACCAAGGCAACGAUGCGUAGCCGACCUGAGAGGGUGAUCGGCCACACUGGAACUGAGAAACGGUCCAGACUCCUACGGGAGGCAGCAGUAGGGAAUCUUCCGCAAUGGGCGAAAGCUUGACGGAGCAACGCCGCGUGAGUGAUGAAGGUCUUCGGAUCGUAAAACUCUGUUAUUAGGGAAGAACAAAUGUGUAAGUAACUAUGCACGUCUUGACGGUACCUAAUCAGAAAGCCACGGCUAACUACGUG
Molecule: ribosomal RNA, 492 nt
Filed under: uncultured bacterium
Lineage: Bacteria
Description: partial 16S ribosomal RNA
Rfam family: Bacterial small subunit ribosomal RNA
Source: RNAcentral